RNAcentral lists this ribosomal RNA (216 nucleotides) under uncultured bacterium. RNAcentral's name for it is "partial 16S ribosomal RNA". It matches the Rfam family "Bacterial small subunit ribosomal RNA", at positions 28 to 233 of the family's 1533-position model. The record is from RNAcentral.
GAUGAACGCUGGCGGCGUGCCUAAUACAUGCAAGUCGAACGCACAGCGAAAGGUGCUUGCACCUUUCAAGUGAGUGGCGAAUGGGUGAGUAACACGUGGACAACCUGCCUCAAGGCUGGGGAUAACAUUUGAAAACAGAUGCUAAUACCGAAUAAAACUCAGUGUCGCAUGGCACAAAGUUAAAAGGCGCUUUGGCGUCACCUAGAGAUGGAUCCG